RNAcentral lists this ribosomal RNA (801 nucleotides) under uncultured bacterium. RNAcentral's name for it is "bacterial SSU rRNA". It matches the Rfam family "Bacterial small subunit ribosomal RNA", at positions 62 to 876 of the family's 1533-position model. The record is from RNAcentral.
ACGGACUAUUUUGAAGAGUAAUCGGAUUAAUAGUUAGUGGCGAAAGGGUGAGGAAUGGAUAGGUAACGUACCUCGGGCUCCGGAAUAGCUCAUCGAAAGGUGGGGUAAUGCCGGAUGAUGUCCUGUGUUUAAUGCACGGGACCAAAGAUUUAUCGGCCCCUGAGCGGCCUAUUCCCUAUCAGCUUGUUGGUGAGGUAACGGCUCACCAAGGCGACGACGGGUAGCGGGACUGAGAGGUUGACCCGCCACAUCGGAACUGAGACACUGUCCGGACCUCCACGGAGGGCUGCAGUAACGAAUAUUGGGCAAUGGGCGAAAGCCUGACCCAGCAAUGCCGCGUGUAGGAUGAAGCUUUUCGGAAUGUAAACUACUUUCAGGGAUUAGAAAGCUACGGUUGAUCAAUCCCAGAAGAAGUCACGGCUAACUUCGUGCCAGCAGCCGCGGUAAUACGAAGGUGGCAAGCGUUAUUCGAAAUCACUGGGCUUAAAGGGCGCGUAGGCGGAUAUGUAAGUGUCAGGUGAAAUCCCUCGGCUUAACCGAGGAAUUGCCUGACAAACUACAUAUCUUGAGUCAAGUAGGGGUGUGUGGAACUCUUGGUGGAGCGGUGGAAUGCGUAGAUAUCAAGAGGAACGCCGAAGGUGAAGACAGCACACUGGACUUGUACUGACGCUGAGGCGCGAAAGCGUGGGGAGCGAACAGGAUUAGAUACCCUGGUAGUCCACGCCGUAAACGAUGUAUACUAGGUCGCGGAGGUUCUGACACCGUCGCGGUCGUAGCAAAAGUGUUAAGUAUACCGCCUGG